CAUACACAGUAGGCCAUAAGUUAUGAAGUCCAGCUGAGUCCGAUUCUAAGCAGUAUUUAAAGAAACUUGAGUGGAUCAUAUUUCUGCGAACUUCUAUUUAGAAUGAAGACGCUCCUCAUCUUCAACCAGCGCCAGAUAUCAGAUGGCAUCAUCAACCACCAUGAGAGUCAUCCUAACUGAAGCCAAUGUCCGAAAAUUGAAGCUAACCUCAAGGCCUAGCUCAGUUGCGGAUUUGAUUAUGUAUAUAAAAGAAUCAUUCGGACUCGAAUAUGACUUCAACUUACAGUUUCGAGACGCAGAGUUUGAUAAUGAACUUUGCAACCUCACAGAUUUAUCAGAACUGCCGGAGAAGCCAACAGUAAAGAUCAUUCCAUUGCUCAAUUUGGUCUCCCUUCCUUCAAGCUUAUCUGAAAAUCUGAAUGACACUGUGUCUACAGCAGAUACCGAGCUGCUCUCCACUUCGUUGACAGAAGCAAGGAAGCCAUGGCCCGAUGACGUCUUAAUUCCAAAAUUCUCUGUAGAUGUCGAGUACAGACUCCGUCAGGGGAAUUUGACUUAUCUCAAGGAGAGAACAUACCUUAAGGUCUCAAAAGAGUUGAAGCAUGACAUCCUUCACAGGCUGGCAGAAAGAAUUUACUCAUUCAAAGCAUACCCAACUACUCGUGACCUCAACGCAGUAGCCAGGGCAUUAAUAGCGGCUCAUCCUUGCCUUCAAGAACCGGCAUCACCAUCUGGUUGCUGUGGGUGGAAGGACAGCCUUAAAGACAAAAUGGGCAAUUACAGGUCAAAAAUGAGAGCUCUGGGACAUGAAGAUGUCAAGGUCAAUGCAGGGAAACGAGGACGAAACACCCCGAAUGGUGAGCCUCCACACAAGAACAUAAAAAAGCCAAAGAAAGGGGAAGUCAAUUACUUACCAAAUAUUCCGGAUGGACACAAUAACACAAGCCUUGAAGAUGCCCGAAAGCAAUUAGUGGACGAGAUGAAGAAAAAGAACCCAGACAGAACACUUAUCAAUCAGAAGAUGGAUGCAACAUUGUCUCUGUGAAGGAAGGAAGUUGUGCAGGACAAGCCACCUGUGAUCCAGAUGCUCCAGCGUUGACCAGCACUGUUCGUGGAAAAUCAGGUGUACCAGGAAUUGAACAGGGUCGUGGGGAAAAACCUGAAGCAAGAAUUCUACGACUCCCUUGAUCGCCAUUGUCCUGCACUUGUUGAUGUCAUGAAGUCAAAGAGAGGGCUGAAGGGGCAGCUGCUGGAUGCACUUUUGCGCCAAGCACAGACAUCGGACAUUGCCGACAUAUGAUGCCUCGUCCUGAGAGGGCUGGCAGUGCUUCUGGAUGACAACCCAUCUGAAUUCUUCAAGGACUUUUGGAAGGUUUUGCUGUGGAUGAUGAGGACGCCUACAAACACAUCCCAAUUGGAAUCCUCGCUAUUCAUCAUGAUGGUGUUGCACAACAUCCCCUAAACCCAUCCUCCCUGGGUGUGGUUCUGGAAGGAAAUGUUGUGAUGGACAAUAUCAACAACUUGCCCCAGACCAUGUGCCUACUCUUUGGCUUGACAUAUGCACUUCAUCUGAACUACCCAAAAUGCAUGGUAAACACAUUCCAGUUCAUUCAGCAGGUUUUCUUGGGUUUGGGGAGGAAGGAGUUGAAGGGAAAAGUGUUGACUUUGACUAAUCAGCUGGCCAUGUAAGGUCACUUCAGGUUGGUAUUUUACACUUCCCACCAUGUUUUCAGAUAGUUUGGUGUGUAAUAUACUGGUCAAGAUUGAGAUUUGCACACAUGCUACUGUUUAGUGUAUUUGUCACUGCUGUGGUAGCACCCGCCACCUCUACAGUCAUUGUAGAGGUGGUGGGAGGAGGCUGCUGCCACAGUAGUGGGAAAUCCUUUAUUCAGUAGCAUGUGUGUAAAUUACAAUCUUAACCAUCCUAUCCCAUAACAAACUGUGCGAACAUAUAGUGGUAGAUGUAAAAUGCCCAGCUUGACCUUGGAAGAUGUUAUUGGGUAUGGCGAUUUGGUUCAUUUCAUUAUUGAAUUAAUCAUUAUGGGCCUUUUGUGGUGAGUAGCUGUAUUUUUUCUAUCUUUUUUAUUUGUAAUUUUUAUUUUAAAUUCUGUUUUAAGUGUCAUGAAUAACCAUUUCAGAACUCUUAAGGUACAAAGGCUGUUGAAAAAAGUGAUGUUACAUUUGGUGUGUGAACAAUUGAAAAAAAAAGUUUUGAAAAAGUUGUUUUUACAAAGUGCCAUUGCCGGAGUUUCUGUUGUGGAAGGCAGUGACUUUAUUUAUAUGCACUUUAUGCUACUUUGUUCUGUGAAUAGGGUAGCACCAACACUGUCAAAUGACCAUCCUGUACACAAACUACCCAAGGUGCAUGGUAAACACAACCUUCAAUUCGUUCAGCAGGUUCUCUUUGGGUAGGGAGGAGUUGAAAGGAAAAGUGCACACAGCUGAUACCACUGUCUUGUGUAAAAAAGGGUAUAUUGGCGUUUACAGUCAUGGUCAUUUGACAGUGUUGGCAAAUAGGUUUUCUUUGUUUUGGCCUACAGGUCACGGUUGGUAUUUUACACUUCCCACCAUGUUUUCAGAUAGUUUGGUGUGUAAUAUACUGGUCAAGAUUGAGAUUUGCACACAUGCUACUGUUUAGUGUAUCUGUCACUGCUGUGGUAGCAUCCGCCACCUCUACAGUCAUUGUAGAGGUGGUGGGAGGAGGCUGCUGCCACAGUAGUGGGAAAUCCUUUAUUCAGUAGCAUGUGUGUAAAUUACAAUCUUAACCAGUCUAUCCCAUAACACAAUGUACGAACAUAUAGUGGUAAGUGUAUUUUUGUAUGUGAUAAGUAAAACAUAAAAACCCUUUGUUAUAUAUAUAAUAUCCCUAAUGUAGAAUGGCUUUCUUGUUUGUCAGUUUUCACAUUACUGCAUUACAAUAAUCCUUCAAAAACCA
Pygocentrus nattereri (red-bellied piranha) is the source of this 2935-nucleotide RNA transcript. It is a transcript of the gene named polymeric immunoglobulin receptor-like, with no coding region annotated. The transcript has 5 exons. The record is from RefSeq and is a predicted model, not a curated record. NCBI's taxonomy places the organism in Eukaryota, Metazoa, Chordata, Actinopteri, Characiformes, Serrasalmidae.